This is a long non-coding RNA of Gossypium raimondii (Peruvian cotton), 134 nucleotides long. RefSeq lists it as uncharacterized. Lineage: Eukaryota; Viridiplantae; Streptophyta; Magnoliopsida; Malvales; Malvaceae. The transcript is spliced from 3 exons. The record is from RefSeq and is a predicted model, not a curated record.
UAGAGUCCAAAGGACGGCGUAAGAAGUUGCAAGAAGUUGGUUAUGUGACAACCAUAUGCUUCACAUGUUUUCUAGUCAGAUGCAUCAUGAUGUGCUUUAAUGCAUUUGACAAAGGUGCUGACCUUGAUGUUUUA